UGCUGCCUGGAACUGGAUGGAAAAGA
RNAcentral lists this non-coding RNA (26 nucleotides) under Mus musculus (house mouse). The record is from RNAcentral. Lineage: Eukaryota; Metazoa; Chordata; Mammalia; Rodentia; Muridae.